Molecule: ribosomal RNA, 528 nt
Filed under: Paracoccus sp. CH381a_12D
Lineage: Bacteria; Pseudomonadati; Pseudomonadota; Alphaproteobacteria; Rhodobacterales; Paracoccaceae
Description: bacterial SSU rRNA
Rfam family: Bacterial small subunit ribosomal RNA
Source: RNAcentral
GCAGUCGAGCGAGACCUUCGGGUCUAGCGGCGGACGGGUGAGUAACGCGUGGGAACGUGCCCUUCUCUACGGAAUAGCCCCGGGAAACUGGGAGUAAUACCGUAUACGCCCUUUGGGGGAAAGAUUUAUCGGAGAAGGAUCGGCCCGCGUUGGAUUAGGUAGUUGGUGGGGUAAUGGCCCACCAAGCCGACGAUCCAUAGCUGGUUUGAGAGGAUGAUCAGCCACACUGGGACUGAGACACGGCCCAGACUCCUACGGGAGGCAGCAGUGGGGAAUCUUAGACAAUGGGGGCAACCCUGAUCUAGCCGUGCCGCGUGAGUGAUGAAGGCCUUAGGGUUGUAAAGCUCUUUCAGCUGGGAAGAUAAUGACGGUACCAGCAGAAGAAGCCCCGGCUAACUCCGUGCCAGCAGCCGCGGUAAUACGGAGGGGGCUAGCGUUGUUCGGAAUUACUGGGCGUAAAGCGCACGUAGGCGGACUGGAAAGUCAGAGGUGAAAUCCCAGGGCUCAACCUUGGAACUGCCUUUGAUA